AGAGUUUGAUCAUGGCUCAGGAUGAACGCUGGCGGCGUGCCUAACACAUGCAAGUCGAGCGAUUCUCUUCGGAGAAGAGCGGCGGACGGGUGAGUAACGCGUGGGUAACUUGCCCUGUACACACGGAUAACAUACCGAAAGGUAUGCUAAUACGAGAUAAUAUGCUUUUAUCGCAUGGUAGAAGUAUCAAAGCUCCGGCGGUACAGGAUGGACCCGCGUCUGAUUAGCUAGUUGGUAAGGUAACGGCUUACCAAGGCGACGAUCAGUAGCCGACCUGAGAGGGUGAUCGGCCACAUUGGAACUGAGACACGGUCCAAACUCCUACGGGAGGCAGCAGUGGGGAAUAUUGCACAAUGGGCGAAAGCCUGAUGCAGCAACGCCGCGUGAGCGAUGAAGGCCUUCGGGUCGUAAAGCUCUGUCCUCAAGGAAGAUAAUGACGGUACUUGAGGAGGAAGCCCCGGCUAACUACGUGCCAGCAGCCGCGGUAAUACGUAGGGGGCUAGCGUUAUCCGGAAUUACUGGGCGUAAAGGGUGCGUAGGUGGUUUCUUAAGUCAGAGGUGAAAGGCUACGGCUCAACCGUAGUAAGCCUUUGAAACUGGGAAACUUGAGUGCAGGAGAGGAGAGUGGAAUUCCUAGUGUAGCGGUGAAAUGCGUAGAUAUUAGGAGGAACACCAGUUGCGAAGGCGGCUCUCUGGACUGUAACUGACACUGAGGCACGAAAGCGUGGGGAGCAAACAGGAUUAGAUACCCUGGUAGUCCACGCCGUAAACGAUGAGUACUAGCUGUCGGAGG
Molecule: ribosomal RNA, 793 nt
Filed under: uncultured bacterium
Lineage: Bacteria
Description: bacterial SSU rRNA
Rfam family: Bacterial small subunit ribosomal RNA
Source: RNAcentral